Molecule: ribosomal RNA, 253 nt
Filed under: uncultured bacterium
Lineage: Bacteria
Description: partial 16S ribosomal RNA
Rfam family: Bacterial small subunit ribosomal RNA
Source: RNAcentral
UACGAGGGGUGCAAGCGUUGCUCGGAAUUAUUGGGCGUAAAGGGUAGGUAGGUGGUCUCAUUUGUCUGGGGUGAAAGCCUCGAGCUUAACUCGAGAAGUGCCCCAGAAACGGUGAGACUUGAGUCUUGGAGAGGCUAGCGGAAUUCCCGGUGUAGCGGUGAAAUUCGUAGAUAUUCGGAAGAACACCAGUGGCGAAGGCGGCUCACUGGACCGGUAUUGACGCUGAGGUGCGAGAGCGUGGGGAGCAAACAGG